RNAcentral lists this ribosomal RNA (474 nucleotides) under uncultured bacterium. RNAcentral describes it as "bacterial SSU rRNA". It matches the Rfam family "Bacterial small subunit ribosomal RNA", at positions 25 to 518 of the family's 1533-position model. The record is from RNAcentral.
CAGGACGAACGCUGGCGGCGUGCUUCAUACAUGCAAGUCGAACGAUAAGGCACCUUCGGGUGUACAUAAGUGGCGGACGGGUGAGUAAUGUGUAGAGAAUCUGCCCUUAAGCGGGGGACAACAGCUGGAAACGGUUGCUAAUACCCCAUAUGAGCGUAGCUGAAAUGCUAUUCUUGAAAACUCCGGUGCUUAAGGAUGAGUCUGCAUCUGAUUAGCUAGUUGGGGGUGUAAUGGACCACCAAGGCGACGAUCAGUAGCUGGUUUGAGAGGAUGAUCAGCCACAAUGGGACUGAGACACGGCCCAUACUCCUACGGGAGGCAGCAGUAGGGAAUUUUGCGCAAUGGGCGAAAGCCUGAACCGCAGCAACGCCGCGUGACUGAAGAAGCCCUUCGGGGUGUAAAGGUCUGUCACAGGGGACGAAAAAUGACGGUACCCUGAGAGGAAGCAUCGGCUAACUCCGUGCCAGCAGCGGC